Molecule: long non-coding RNA, 236 nt
Filed under: Homo sapiens (human)
Lineage: Eukaryota; Metazoa; Chordata; Mammalia; Primates; Hominidae
Description: non-protein coding LINC00944:10
Source: RNAcentral
AGGAAUCUUCACCCCUAACUUGAACUUCAUAACACUGGAGAGAGAGACUGUGGAAUGGAAUGACUCUCCAGAGCUGCAGAUUGAAGAUCUCAAUGGCGGGAACACCUUCAUGGCCCCUUUAUAGCUGGAUGAUCAUUUCCUGUUCUCUCCACCAUGGCCACCUGGUCCAAGCCACCAUCUUCAUGCACCUGGAUACCUGCCAUAACCUCAGCUGACCUUUCCUGUGUCCAUUCUUG